UUUUUAUUGAGAGUUUGAUCCUGGCUCAGGACGAACGCUGGCGGCGUGCUUAACACAUGCAAGUCGAGCGAUGAAGCU
Molecule: ribosomal RNA, 78 nt
Filed under: Clostridium butyricum
Lineage: Bacteria; Bacillati; Bacillota; Clostridia; Eubacteriales; Clostridiaceae
Description: partial 16S ribosomal RNA
Rfam family: Bacterial small subunit ribosomal RNA
Source: RNAcentral